CCUACGGGAGGCAGCAGUGGGGAAUAUUGGGCAAUGGGCGCAAGCCUGACCCAGCAACGCCGCGUGAAGGAAGAAGGCUUUCGGGUUGUAAACUUCUUUUAAGAGGGAAGAGCAGAAGACGGUACCUCUUAAAUAAGCCACGGCGAACUACGUGCCAGCAGCCGCGGUGAUACGUAGGUGGCAAGCGUUGUCCGGAUUGACUGGGUGGACAGGGCGUGAAGCCGGGAAGACAAGUCAGAUGGGAAAUCCCGCGGCUCAACCGCGGAACUGCAUUUGAAACUGUUUUUCUUGGGUACCGGAGAGGUCAUCGGAAUUCCUUGUGUAGCGGUUAAAUGCGGAGAUAUAAGGAAGAACACCAGUGGCGAAGGCGGAUGACUGGACGGCAACUGACGGUGAGGCGCGAAAGCGUGGGGAGCAAACAGGAUUAGAUACCCGAGUAGUC
Molecule: ribosomal RNA, 442 nt
Filed under: uncultured bacterium
Lineage: Bacteria
Description: partial 16S ribosomal RNA
Rfam family: Bacterial small subunit ribosomal RNA
Source: RNAcentral